GACGAACGCUGGCGGCGUGCCUAAUACAUGCAAGUCGAGCGAAUCCUUCGGGGUUAGCGGCGGACGGGUGAGUAACACGUAGGCAACCUGCCCGUAAGUCUGGGAUAACUAUCGGAAACGAUAGCUAAUACCGGAUACGAAGAGAGAGCGCAUGUUCUCUUUUGGAAAGGCGGAGCAAUCUGCCACUUACGGAUGGGCCUGCGGCGCAUUAGCUAGUAGGCGGGGUAACGGCCCACCUAGGCGACGAUGCGUAGCCGACCUGAGAGGGUGAUCGGCCACACUGGGACUGAGACACGGCCCAGACUCCUACGGGAGGCAGCAGUAGGGAAUCUUCCGCAAUGGGCGAAAGCCUGACGGAGCAACGCCGCGUGAGUGAUGAAGGUUUUCGGAUCGUAAAGCUCUGUUGCCAGAGAAGAACGCCGAGGAGAGUAACUGCUCUUCGGGUGACGGUAUCUGAGAAGAAAGCCCCGGCUAACUACGUGCCAGCCGCCGCCGUAACAC
This 501-nucleotide ribosomal RNA is filed under the name uncultured bacterium. RNAcentral describes it as "bacterial SSU rRNA". It matches the Rfam family "Bacterial small subunit ribosomal RNA", at positions 28 to 526 of the family's 1533-position model. The record is from RNAcentral.